Molecule: long non-coding RNA, 1502 nt
Filed under: Eptatretus burgeri (inshore hagfish)
Lineage: Eukaryota; Metazoa; Chordata; Myxini; Myxiniformes; Myxinidae
Description: lncRNA (ENSEBUG00000017210.1)
Source: RNAcentral
CCUUUCUUCCUCCCGGUCUUCCAGUCGAUCCAUCUACCCUGCUGUUGGUGCCCCCCUCCCACCCCAGGCCCCAUAUUUCCACUCUUCUUUUCGUUUUGUUAUGCCCUGGUCUGUUCUGUGUUCUUGCUCUUCACAAGCCUAGACUGCAUACAAAAAAAUAAAUAAUUUUAAAAGGCCAUGGUGAAAAAUUACGUGCAUUCAGAAAGAGCAUCAUCUGAACAGGUUACAUGAUGAUAUCGUGUAUGAUUUUCGCAUCAUCACUUGUACACGUGCUUCAAGAUAAAAAACAAACAAACAAACUUCUUAUCACUCGUCUUUUGGAAAUUAAUAUUUUAAUAAGGAAAGCUCACUUGUCAACACUUCAGACGACUCCAAAUUACAGUCAAUGUCUAUUAAUCUUCCAUGGGUACUCUGUGAAUAAAUACUUCUGGGGGUUCCAAAGGUAAAGUUGCUCAAUCUUAGAUAUUGUGUUAGGCAAACCCUGUCUUGAGGACAAGGUUCACCCAGUUAAAAAAAAAAAAUUGAUAUUCUGUCCUCAUUUCUCUGCUUGCUUUUAUGCUUUGAAUUUGCAUAUUGGAAAAUGUCACCAUGUUGAUAAGAACAUUCAAAGUAAAUCGUCGAGAGGGAAGAGGCAGAGGUGGGUGCUUUAUGUCAGGGUAAUAAAGGUGUGACAUGUCUUGUAUAAAAGAGACCAAACUCUGAUAACCACAGCUGGCUUCAUCCAGUCACCACUACUUCGUCCCUCGUCUGGUUCUCGAAAACUUCAGUAGCAAUUGGAGUCAUGGAGAGAUCAGGGAGAAGCCUCGUUCUCCUUGUCAUUGCACUGCUGUGUUCUGGUCAUCUGGUCCUUGGAAGCCAUUUUCGUGGUGGGACCAUCAGCUGGGAAUACAUUGGUGGAAAGAAGGUGCAUUUUGACUACAUGGUCGGAUGGCGCAGAAACUCGGGCGAAGGUGGAGGUUGUAAUGAACAGGAUGUGACGUCUCAGAAAGUACUAAUAGGUAGCGGCAAAUGGGGAUGUGUGCAAGGUUGCAAUUCACAAGAGUCCCUGAAAUACCGAUGUAUCGGCUACAACAAGCCGAGCAACUGGAUGGUUGGAUCUGGCACCUUUGAAAUGAACAUGCCAAGUGUCCAAGCCAGUGUUGUUGAAGUGAAGUCUGGAUGUCCAUCUUCCAUCCCACUGGCGGUCUCGGACCCUGACGGGGACGACGUUCGGUGUCGGAUGGCUGUCGGACAAGAGUGCGGUCAAGUUUGUGGAAUUGUACCUUAUGGUAGUUUGGAUGAGACAACAUGUAUCUUGGACUUCAACCCUCCUCAAAAGACGAAUGGCCUUUGGGUGCUCGCCCUCACUCUAGAGGACUUUGCUAUGGUGAAUGGUCAAAGGACUGGACCUUUCUCGUCCAUACCACUACAGGUUAUCCCCCCCCCCCCCCCCCCCCCCCCCCCCCCCCCCCCCCCCCCCCCCCCCCCCCCCCCCCCCCCCCCCCCCCCCCCCCCCCCCCCCC